ACUUUAAUUGAAGAGUUUGAUCAUGGCUCAGAUUGAACGCUGGCGGCAGGCCUAACACAUGCAAGUCGAGCGGUAACAGAAAGUAGCUUGCUACUUUGCUGACGAGCGGCGGACGGGUGAGUAAUGCCUAGGGAUCUGCCCAGUCGAGGGGGAUAAC
This 157-nucleotide ribosomal RNA is filed under the name Shewanella sp. UCD-FRSSP16_17. RNAcentral describes it as "partial 16S ribosomal RNA". It matches the Rfam family "Bacterial small subunit ribosomal RNA", at positions 1 to 147 of the family's 1533-position model. The record is from RNAcentral. Lineage: Bacteria; Pseudomonadati; Pseudomonadota; Gammaproteobacteria; Alteromonadales; Shewanellaceae.